This 443-nucleotide long non-coding RNA is filed under the name Capra hircus (goat). Its description in RNAcentral is "lncRNA (ENSCHIG00000003915.1)". The record is from RNAcentral. Lineage: Eukaryota; Metazoa; Chordata; Mammalia; Artiodactyla; Bovidae.
ACCCCAUCAUAAAGGCAGUAUUACAGCACUUAGCACAUCAUGGGUGCUCAAUAAAUACUACAGAACGUCAUUUCCAGUCCAUACAUGUGAGAAGACAGUGCAGGCUCUAAACCUCUGACAUCACAGGACAUGUCUCUAUGAAUGUGAAGCACAUCAAGCUGGAUGAAGACAGCUUCAGUUCCUCCACAAGACACUUUUUCUGGAUAUUGUUGGGAGACAAUUCUCUGGAGGUCUCUGACAUUUCCAUACAUCUUGUGAGCAAAGGCACAUACUGCCACACUUCCAAUGCUUUCAACAAUGUCUGUAUAAUGAAAAGUCUUAGAAGACAGGAAUAAUGGCUCUCUCUGCAAAAGGCAAGCAUCCCUAUUACCCAUUAUAAAAGCUUUGGGUUCCUAAGCUUAGGGAUCUUCUCCUGGAAAGUCGCCCCUGUAAGUGCAGGUGUC